RNAcentral lists this ribosomal RNA (504 nucleotides) under uncultured bacterium. RNAcentral describes it as "bacterial SSU rRNA". It matches the Rfam family "Bacterial small subunit ribosomal RNA", at positions 30 to 518 of the family's 1533-position model. The record is from RNAcentral.
UGAACGCUGGCGGCGUGCCUAACACAUGCAAGUCGAACGGAGAUAGACGCUGACGAGACUCGGUCAAAUCUUGUUAAUCUUAGUGGCGGACGGGUGAGUAACGCGUGGGCAACCUGCCUCAUACUGGGGGGAUAGCAGUUGGAAACGACUGAUAAUACCGCAUAAGCGCACGAGAUCGCAUGAUCUAGUGUGAAAAACUCCGGUGGUAUGAGAUGGGCCCGCGUCAGAUUAGCUAGUUGGUAAGGUAACGGCUUACCAAGGCGACGAUCUGUAGCCGGACUGAGAGGUCGGACGGCCACAUUGGGGACUGAGACACGGCCCAAACUCCUACGGGAGGCAGCAGUGGGGGAUAUUGCACAAUGGAGGAAACUCUGAUGCAGCGACGCCGCCGUGAGUGAAGAAGUAUUUCGGUAUGUAAAGCUCUAUCAGCAGGGAAGAAAGGCUCUAAGGAGAGAUGACGGUACCUGACUAAGAAGCCCCGGCUAACUACGUGCCAGCCGCGGC